CAAUAGCGUAUAUUUAAGUUGUUGCAGUUAAAAAGCUCGUAGUUGGAUUUCGGGUGGGACGCAGCGGUCUCGCAUUGCGUUUGUACUGCUGCAGCCUACCUUGCUGCCGGGGGCGGGCCUUCGGACUUCAUUGUCCGGGGCCCAGAAUCGGCGAUGUUACUUUGAGUAAAUUAGAGUGUUCAAAGCAAGCUUACGCUCUGAAUAUAAUAGCAUGGGAUAACACGACAGGACUCUGGCCUAUCGUGUUGGUCUAUAGGACCAGAGUAAUGAUUAAGAGGGACAGUCGGGGGCAUUCGUAUUCCGUUGUCAGAGGUGAAAUUCUUGGAUUUACGGAAGACGAACAUCUGCGAAAGCAUUUGCCAAGGAUGUUUUCAUUGAUCAAGAACGAAAGUUGGGGGCU
RNAcentral lists this ribosomal RNA (400 nucleotides) under Ulvaria sp. ASV_332. RNAcentral's name for it is "SSU rRNA". It matches the Rfam family "Eukaryotic small subunit ribosomal RNA", at positions 592 to 998 of the family's 1831-position model. Lineage: Eukaryota; Viridiplantae; Chlorophyta; Ulvophyceae; Ulvales; Monostromataceae. The record is from RNAcentral.